This 229-nucleotide unclassified non-coding RNA is filed under the name plant metagenome. RNAcentral describes it as "partial contains small subunit ribosomal RNA, internal transcribed spacer 1, and 5.8S ribosomal RNA". The record is from RNAcentral.
UCUCCGUAGGUGAACCUGCGGAGGGAUCAUUACAGAGUUCAUGCCCUACCGGGUAGAUCUCCCACCCUAUGUUAUUAUUACUUUGUUGCUUUGGCGGGCCGUUAGGCUCCGGCCCGACUACCGGCCCCGGCUGGUAAGCGCCCGCCGGAGGACCCAAAACCCUGAAUAUUAGUGUCGUCUGAGUACUAUAUAAUAGUUAAGACUUUCAACAACGGAUCUCUUGGUUCUG